AUUGAACGCUGGCGGCAGGCCUAACACAUGCAAGUCGAGCGGAUGAAGGGAGCUUGCUCCUGGAUUCAGCGGCGGACGGGUGAGUAAUGCCUAGGAAUCUGCCUGGUAGUGGGGGAUAACGUCCGGAAACGGGCGCUAAUACCGCAUACGUCCUGAGGGAGAAAGUGGGGGAUCUUCGGACCUCACGCUAUCAGAUGAGCCUAGGUCGGAUUAGCUAGUUGGUGGGGUAAAGGCCUACCAAGGCGACGAUCCGUAACUGGUCUGAGAGGAUGAUCAGUCACACUGGAACUGCAACACGCUCCAGUCUCCUACGGGCUGCCGCAGCGCGGAAUAGUCGACAGUAGUCGGAAGCCUUCUCCAGCCAUGCCUCGUGUUUCAAUAAGUGCUUCGGAUUCUAGAUCACUUUAAGUUGGGAGGAAGGGCAGUAAGUUAAUACCUUGCUGUUUUGACGUUACUAACAGAAUAAUCACCUGCUAACUUCGUG
RNAcentral lists this ribosomal RNA (484 nucleotides) under uncultured bacterium. RNAcentral's name for it is "partial 16S ribosomal RNA". It matches the Rfam family "Bacterial small subunit ribosomal RNA", at positions 30 to 507 of the family's 1533-position model. The record is from RNAcentral.